GCCGGGCGAGGUGGCGGGUGCCUGUAGUCCCAGCUACUCGGGAGGCUGAGGUAGGAGAAUCGCUUGAACCCGGGAGGCUGAGGUUGCAGUGAGCCAAGAUUGCGCCACUGCACUCCAGCCUGGGUGACAGAGUGAGACUCUAUCUCAA
This 148-nucleotide signal recognition particle RNA is filed under the name Chlorocebus sabaeus (green monkey). RNAcentral describes it as "Metazoan signal recognition particle RNA". It matches the Rfam family "Metazoan signal recognition particle RNA". Rfam says of the family: The signal recognition particle (SRP) is a universally conserved ribonucleoprotein. It is involved in the co-translational targeting of proteins to membranes. The record is from Rfam by way of RNAcentral. Lineage: Eukaryota; Metazoa; Chordata; Mammalia; Primates; Cercopithecidae.